Molecule: ribosomal RNA, 484 nt
Filed under: uncultured bacterium
Lineage: Bacteria
Description: partial 16S ribosomal RNA
Rfam family: Bacterial small subunit ribosomal RNA
Source: RNAcentral
AUUGAACGCUGGCGGCAUGCUUUACACAUGCAAGUCGAACGGCAGCGCGGGCUUUGGCCUGGCGGCGAGUGGCGAACGGGUGAGUAAUACAUCGGAACGCGCCCAGUAGUGGGGGAUAGCUCGGCGAAAGCCGGAUUAAUACCGCAUACGACCUGAGGGUGAAAGCGGGGGAUCUUCGGACCUCGCGCUAUUGGAGCGGCCGAUGGCAGAUUAGCUAGUUGGUGGGGUAAAGGCCUACCAAGGCGACGAUCUGUAGCUGGUCUGAGAGGACGACCAGCCACACUGGGACUGAGACACGGCCCAGACUCCUACGGGAGGCAGCAGUGGGGAAUUUUGGACAAUGGGCGAAAGCCUGAUCCAGCAAUGCCGCGUGUGUGAUGAAGGCCUUCGGGUUGUAAAGCACUUUUGGCGGGAACGAAAAGGACUGUGCCAAUACCACGGUUCGAUGACGGUACCCGCAGAAUAAGCACCGGCUAACUACGUG